CUCAACUCUCUCUCUCUCUCUCUCUCUCUCUCUCUCUAUAUAUAUAUAGAAUUAGGCUACUAUACUAUCUAUAGUACCGGAUACUAUCUAUAGUAUUGGAGCUCCGGUACUAUAGUCUUGCUUUCGAUCUUAGGGUGUUCAAAUUAAUGAUCCACACCGUUAAAUAUGAUCUAGGGUAUAUGAAAUUCUUAGGAAUAACAUUUUAGUUUUUUUCGACAUCGUUUACUUAGUAAAUAAAUUAUGUCAAAAUGGACGGUGGAAAUUGAAUAAUCUUUAAAAUUUGAGCAUAGGAUUUUUAAAUUUAAGAUCAAGAAUGUUAACCUUAAUCUAGAUAGUUUAAACUAUUUUCUAUCAAAAUUUGAAGAAAUUUAGAUUCUUCCACACCGUUAAACCCCAAACUCGCCAUAGUAGCAAUUGAAAAUUGACAAUUUUGAAAUAGUUUGAUCAUAAAAUAAACUAUGUUGAAAAAUAUAAAAUUUUAUUUCUAAAAACUUUAAAUACC
RNAcentral lists this long non-coding RNA (502 nucleotides) under Ananas comosus (pineapple). RNAcentral's name for it is "long non-coding RNA (ACOM_LNC003037)". Lineage: Eukaryota; Viridiplantae; Streptophyta; Magnoliopsida; Poales; Bromeliaceae. The record is from RNAcentral.